CCUACGGGUGGCAGCAGUGGGGAAUAUUGCACAAUGGGGGAAACCCUGAUGCAGCGACGCCGCGUGAGUGAAGAAGUAUUUCGGUAUGUAAAGCUCUAUCAGCAGGGAAGAAAAUGACGGUACCUGAUCAAGAAGCCCCGGCUAACAACGUGCCAGCAGCCGCGGUAAUACGUAGGGGGCAAGCGUUAUCCGGAUUGACUGGGGGUAAAGGGAGCGUAGAUGGCAGCACAAGUCUGGAGUGAAAUGCCGGGGCUUAACCCCGGAACUGCUUUGGAAACUGUGCAGCUGGAGUGCAGGAGAGGUAAGUGGAAUUCCUGGUGUAGCGGUGAAAUGCGUAGAUAUUAGGAGGAACACCAGUGGCGAAGGCGGCUUACUGGACUGUAACUGACGUUGAGGCUCGAAAGCGUGGGGAGCAAACAGGAUUAGAUACCCCUGUAGUC
This 440-nucleotide ribosomal RNA is filed under the name uncultured bacterium. Its description in RNAcentral is "partial 16S ribosomal RNA". It matches the Rfam family "Bacterial small subunit ribosomal RNA", at positions 338 to 795 of the family's 1533-position model. The record is from RNAcentral.